AAGGACUUAGGCUAAUUCAAACCCUCAGCCUUCAAAGUUGAAAAUAAAGUUUACUUUAGGCCUUA
This 65-nucleotide transfer RNA is filed under the name Scolytinae sp. BMNH 1274712. RNAcentral's name for it is "tRNA-Trp". Lineage: Eukaryota; Metazoa; Arthropoda; Insecta; Coleoptera; Curculionidae. The record is from RNAcentral.